This 469-nucleotide ribosomal RNA is filed under the name uncultured bacterium. RNAcentral's name for it is "partial 16S ribosomal RNA". It matches the Rfam family "Bacterial small subunit ribosomal RNA", at positions 28 to 508 of the family's 1533-position model. The record is from RNAcentral.
GACGAACGCUGGCGGCGUGCUUAACACAUGCAAGUCGAACGGAAAGGCCCUGCUUUUGUGGGGUGCUCGAGUGGCGAACGGGUGAGUAACACGUGAGUAACCUGCCCUUGACUUUGGGAUAACUUCAGGAAACUGGGGCUAAUACCGGAUAGGAGCUCCUGCUGCAUGGUGGGGGUUGGAAAGUUUCGGCGGUUGGGGAUGGACUCGCGGCUUAUCAGCUUGUUGGUGGGGUAGUGGCUUACCAAGGCUUUGACGGGUAGCCGGCCUGAGAGGGUGACCGGCCACAUUGGGACUGAGAGACGGCCCAGACUCCUACGGGAGGCAGCAGUGGGGAAUAUUGCACAAUGGGCGGAAGCCUGAUGCAGCAACGCCGCGUGCGGGAUGACGGCCUUCGGGUUGUAAACCGCUUUCGCCUGUGACGAAGCGUGAGUGACGGUAAUGGGUAAAGAAGCACCGGCUAACUACGUGC